CCUACGGUGUGCAGCAGUGAGGAAUAUUGGUCAAUGGGCUUACGCCUGAACCAGCCAAGUCGCGUGAGGGAAGACUGCCCUAUGGGUUGUAAACCUCUUUUGUCAGGGAGCAAUUGGCGCUACGUGUAGCGUUCUCGAGAGUACCUGAAGAAAAAGCAACGGCUAACUCCUUGCCAGACGCCGCGGUAAUACGGAGGAUGCGAGCGGUAUCCGGAUUUAUGGGGUUGAAAGGGUGCGUAGGCGGAAUGCCAAGUCAGCGGUAAAAUCGCGGGGCUCAACCUCGCUCCGCCGUUGAAACUGGCGGUCUUGAGUGGGCGAGAAGUAUGCGGAAUGCGUGGUGUAGCGGUGAAAUGCAUAGAUAUCGCGCAGAACUCCGAUUGCGAAGGCAGCAUACCGGCGCCCAACUGACGCUGAAGCACGAAAGCGUGGGUAUCGAACAGGAUUAGAUACCCUUGUAGUC
RNAcentral lists this ribosomal RNA (460 nucleotides) under uncultured bacterium. RNAcentral's name for it is "partial 16S ribosomal RNA". It matches the Rfam family "Bacterial small subunit ribosomal RNA", at positions 338 to 795 of the family's 1533-position model. The record is from RNAcentral.